UACGUAGGGGGCUAGCGUUGUCCGGAAUCAUUGGGCGUAAAGAGCGUGUAGGCGGCUCGGUAAGUCCGCUGUGAAAGUCCAGGGCUCAACCCUGGAAUGCCAGUGGAAACUGUCGAGCUAGAGUCCGGAAGAGGCGAGUGGAAUUCCUGGUGUAGCGGUGAAAUGCGCAGAUAUCAGGAGGAACACCAAUGGCGAAGGCAGCUCGCUGGGACGGUACUGACGCUGAGACGCGAAAGCGUGGGGAGCAAACGGG
Molecule: ribosomal RNA, 253 nt
Filed under: uncultured bacterium
Lineage: Bacteria
Description: partial 16S ribosomal RNA
Rfam family: Bacterial small subunit ribosomal RNA
Source: RNAcentral